UACAGAGGUGGCAAGCGUUGUUCGGAAUUACUGGGCGUAAAGGGCGCGUAGGCGGUCCGAUAAGUCCCGUGUGAAAUCCCUCGGCUCAACUGAGGAAUGGCACGGGAAACUGACGGGCUUGAGUUCGGGAGAGGGAAGCGGAAUUCCGGGUGUAGCGGUGAAAUGCGUAGAUAUCCGGAGGAACACCGGUGGCGAAGGCGGCUUCCUGGACCGACACUGACGCUGAGGCGCGAAAGCUAGGGGAGCAAACGGGA
RNAcentral lists this ribosomal RNA (254 nucleotides) under uncultured prokaryote. RNAcentral's name for it is "partial 16S ribosomal RNA". It matches the Rfam family "Bacterial small subunit ribosomal RNA", at positions 524 to 777 of the family's 1533-position model. The record is from RNAcentral.